UAUUGCUCUUUAACGAGGAAUCCCUAGUAAGCACAAGUCAUCAGCUUGUGCUGAUUACGUCCCUGCCCUUUGUACACACCGCCCGUCGCUACUACCGAUCGAAUGGCUUAGUGAGGCCUUCGGAUUGAGAUUUGGAGGCUGGUAACAGACUCUGGAUUUUGAGAAGUUGGUCAAACUUGGUCAUUUAGAGGAAGUAAAAGUCGUAACAAGGUUUCCGUAGGUGAACCUGCGGAAGGAUCAUUACCGAUAUUAGCGAACCUGACCUUCUGGGAUCAUGGUUUCGCGAAAACUUGUAUUUAAAACCCCACCCUUUGUAAUAUGAAUCAUUUUUGUAUGCAAAUUAAAUUAAGAUCACUUUCAACAACGGAUCUCUUGGCUCUCGCAUCGAUGAAGAACGUAGCGAAGUGCGAUAAGUAGUGUGAAUUGCAGAAUUCCGUGAAUCAUCGAAUCUUUGAACGCAAAUUGCACUCUCUUCGGAGAGUAUGCCUGUUUGAGGGUCGGUAUAAUAACUAAUAACCGGGGUGUUGCGAACAUUGUUGACGCUUCGGAGUUUGGGUCAUCUCAACCUUAAGGAUGAGAGGCUUAAAAUUGAUAACCAUUUGCGCAUUUUUUUUUGGACGUACAUAAAUAAUUUUAUCCCGUCUAAAGUCAAUGCCAAAUCUUUUUACUAGGUGCGGACAUAUCAUGUGUGAUUUCGUGCCUAUAAUUUUUCACUUUUCGACCUCAAAUCAGUAGGAGUACCCGCUGAACUUAAGCAUAUCAAUAAGCGGAGGAAAAGAAAAUAACAAUGAUUCCCCUAGUAACUGCGGUGAAGAGGACAAGCUCAAAUUUUAAAUCUGUUAGGAAUACCUGACCGAGUUGUAAUUUGAAGAAGCGUUUUUCUGCGCUUGUUUGAUCAGCCCAAGUCUUAUUGAUGAGCAUCAGGAGGGUGAUAUCCCGUACGGUGAUCAUUGCGUUCUUACGAUACGCUUUCUAGAGUCAGUUGUUUGGAAUGCAGCCUAAAUUGGGAAGUAAGUUUCUCUAAGGCUUAUUACGGCAGGACGAUAGCGACAGUACGUAGAGAUGAAGGUACUUUGCAAUAAGAGAG
Molecule: ribosomal RNA, 1087 nt
Filed under: uncultured Rhizophagus
Lineage: Eukaryota; Fungi; Glomeromycota; Glomeromycetes; Glomerales; Glomeraceae
Description: eukaryotic LSU rRNA
Rfam family: Eukaryotic small subunit ribosomal RNA (bases 1-243)
Source: RNAcentral